AAUAUUGCACAAUGGAGGGAACUCUGAUGCAGCAACGCCGCGUGAGUGAAGAAGGUUUUCGGAUCGUAAAGCUCUGUCAUUGGGGACGAAAAGAUGACGGUACCCAAGGAGGAAGCCCCGGCUAACUACGUGCCAGCAGCCGCGGUAAUACGUAGGGGGCGAGCGUUGUCCGGAAUUACUGGGCGUAAAGGGUGCGUAGGCGGCCCUUUAAGUCAGAUGUGAAAGCCCGCGGCUUAACCGCGGAACUGCAUUUGAAACUGGAGGGCUUGAGUGUCGGAGAGGGUAGUGGAAUUCCCAGUGUAGCGGUGAAAUGCGUAGAUAUUGGGAGGAACACCAGUGGCGAAGGCGACUACCUGGACGAUAACUGACGCUGAGGCACGAAAGCUAGGGGAGCAAACA
RNAcentral lists this ribosomal RNA (399 nucleotides) under uncultured bacterium. RNAcentral describes it as "partial 16S ribosomal RNA". It matches the Rfam family "Bacterial small subunit ribosomal RNA", at positions 360 to 774 of the family's 1533-position model. The record is from RNAcentral.